AUGGCCGACUGCAUCGCCAGCAAGCGCCGCUGCGCGGACGUCGCCGACGGCGCUGACCGGCUUGGUGACCUGCCGGACAGCCUCCUGCAAGUCAUAAUCUCCUUGCUCGGCUUCCGGCAGGCCGUGCAGACCGGCGUGCUGUCGCGGCGGUGGAAGAAUCUGUGGCGUGGCAUGCCCGUCGUCGACAUCGACGAGCGAGAGUUCGCCGGCGACGGCCAGACUUGGGACCGUUUCGAGGACUUUGUCGACCACGCAUUGACGUCGAUCCCGCCAGGGACGCAGCUCGACGCCUUUCGCCUGCACGUGGUUAGCUGCGACACCGCCACGUCUAGCAGGUGGAUCCGACGUGGCCUCCGCCACCUCCCGGCCGCCGUCAGCAUCCACGGUACCAACGCCGGCCACAGCCUGGUCUGCUGGAACCCGCACGUAUCAUCCCCGCCCCGAAACCCCUUCAGGUUCAGGUACGCCGCCGCCGACGGACUCUGGCAGCAGCGGGGCAUGUCGGCGUGCGCCGCCGGUUUCACCCGUCGCUUGACGACCCUGCGGCUGGUCGGCGCCGGUAUCAGUCGCGGCUUCUUCGAGGAGCUCGGCCGGAACUGCCCGGCCCUCGAGGAGCUCCACGCCGAGAGGUGCAUGAUGCACAUGCUCUCCCUCGCCUCGCCCGUGCUCAGGCGCCUCGCUGUCAUCAGCCCAGUUUCAGCACGUAUGGUCACCGUCGUUCCUGGGCUCGAGGCCCCCCGCCUCACCUCCCUCCGCCUCGACAUCAUGUAUGGCGGGGAGAUCACCUACGGAUUGGAAACCGGAGUCGGGCCGGCCCCACAGUAUCACUUGCCGGCUCUUACUGAGGCGUCACUCCGGCUCACGGACACGAGCGCCAACGUCCACCUGCCCGACCACCAAGCUUGGGACUGGGAGAAUCGGAAGCUCAUCGCCAUGUUUUUGGAUUCCAUGUGUGGCUUCCUUGCCCGCCUUACGAAUAUUGUAAGCCUACAUCUACACGGCUUCAUCGCCAUGGCAUUGCUUCAGAAGGAGUCCCAAGAAUUCCCAGUGUUGAAUAACUUGAGAAAUUUGCACCUAGAAGAAUGUGAUGUUGGAGUGAACUACCAGGUGUUGACAAGCAUCCUCAGAAACACACCUAACUUGGAAAAGCUUGCAUUGCAAUGGUGCACGUUUGAAGCUCCUCCAAUCACGAAUAGGAGGAAGGAGAUGGCAUCUUCAAAACUCCAUGGAUCAACUACACCGGCUGUUUUUUGGUGCAAGAAGCUGAAAUCGAUGGAUAUCAAAUGCAGAAAGGAAGAUGAGACACACAUGGCUAGGGUUUUAUCAGAGAUCUCUAAGGGGAUGGCUCCAGAGCAGUGGGAGCGAGUCAAGACAUCAGAUACAAUUGUAUCAGUAGAAUAA
This 1401-nucleotide ribosomal RNA is filed under the name Triticum aestivum (bread wheat). RNAcentral describes it as "partial small subunit ribosomal RNA". Lineage: Eukaryota; Viridiplantae; Streptophyta; Magnoliopsida; Poales; Poaceae. The record is from RNAcentral.